RNAcentral lists this ribosomal RNA (831 nucleotides) under Brachybacterium sp. Its description in RNAcentral is "bacterial SSU rRNA". It matches the Rfam family "Bacterial small subunit ribosomal RNA", at positions 22 to 862 of the family's 1533-position model. Lineage: Bacteria; Bacillati; Actinomycetota; Actinomycetes; Micrococcales; Dermabacteraceae. The record is from RNAcentral.
GCUCAGGACGAACGCUGGCGGCGUGCUUAACACAUGCAAGUCGAACGAUGACGGUGGUGCUUGCACCGCCUGAUUAGUGGCGAACGGGUGAGUAACACGUGAGUAACCUGCCCUCCACUUCGGGAUAACCUCGGGAAAUCGUGGCUAAUACCGGAUAUGAGCACUCAUCGCAUGGUGGGUGUUGGAAAGAUUUAUCGGUGGGGGAUGGACUCGCGGCCUAUCAGUUUGUUGGUGAGGUGAUGGCUCACCAAGACGAUGACGGGUAGCCGGCCUGAGAGGGCGACCGGCCACACUGGGACUGAGACACGGCCCAGACUCCUACGGGAGGCAGCAGUGGGGAAUAUUGCACAAUGGGCGAAAGCCUGAUGCAGCGACGCCGCGUGGGGGAUGACGGCCUUCGGGUUGUAAACCCCUUUCAGUAGGGAAGAAGCGAGAGUGACGGUACCUGCAGAAGAAGCGCCGGCUAACUACGUGCCAGCAGCCGCGGUAAUACGUAGGGCGCAAGCGUUGUCCGGAAUUAUUGGGCGUAAAGAGCUUGUAGGUGGCUUGUCGCGUCUGCCGUGAAAACCCGAGGCUCAACCUCGGGCGUGCGGUGGGUACGGGCAGGCUAGAGUGUGGUAGGGGAGACUGGAACUCCUGGUGUAGCGGUGAAAUGCGCAGAUAUCAGGAAGAACACCGAUGGCGAAGGCAGGUCUCUGGGCCAUUACUGACACUGAGAAGCGAAAGCAUGGGUAGCGAACAGGAUUAGAUACCCUGGUAGUCCAUGCCGUAAACGUUGGGCACUAGGUGUGGGGGACAUUCCACGUUUUCCGCGCCGUAGCUAACGCAUAA